This 314-nucleotide ribosomal RNA is filed under the name uncultured bacterium. Its description in RNAcentral is "bacterial SSU rRNA". It matches the Rfam family "Bacterial small subunit ribosomal RNA", at positions 28 to 334 of the family's 1533-position model. The record is from RNAcentral.
GAUGAACGCUAGCUACAGGCUUAACACAUGCAAGUCGAGGGGCAGCAUGAACUUAGCUUGCUAAGUUUGAUGGCGACCGGCGCACGGGUGCGUAACGCGUAUGCAACCUACCCGUAACAGGGGGAUAACACUGAGAAAUUGGUACUAAUACCCCAUAAUAUCUCGGAAGGCAUCUUCUGGGGUUGAAAACUCUGGUGGUUACGGAUGGGCAUGCGUUGUAUUAGCUAGUUGGUAAGGUAACGGCUUACCAAGGCGACGAUACAUAGGGGGACUGAGAGGUUAACCCCCCACAUUGGUACUGAGACACGGACCAA